Molecule: ribosomal RNA, 547 nt
Filed under: uncultured bacterium
Lineage: Bacteria
Description: bacterial SSU rRNA
Rfam family: Bacterial small subunit ribosomal RNA
Source: RNAcentral
AAUAGAUACCCUGGUAGUCCACGCCCUAAACGAUGCUCACUAGGUGUUGGGGAAGCGAUUCCUUGGUACCGUAGCUAACGCGUGAAGUGAGCCGCCUGGGGAGUACGGCCGCAAGGUUAAAACUCAAAGGAAUUGACGGGGACCCGCACAAGCGGUGGAUGAUGUGGAUUAAUUCGAUGCAACGCGAACAACCUUACCUACCCUUGACAUGUCCGGAAGCCUGCUGAAAGGCGGGGGUGCUCGAAAGAGAACCGGAACACAGGUGCUGCAUGGCUGUCGUCAGCUCGUGUCGUGAGAUAUUGGGUUAAGUCCCGCAACGAGCGCAACCCUUGUCCCUAGUUGCUACGCAAGGGCACUCUAGGGAGACUGCCGGUGACAAACCGGAGGAAGGUGGGGAUGACGUCAAGUCCUCAUGGCCCUUAUGGGUAGGGCUUCACACGUCAUACAAUGGACGGUACAGAGGGUUGCCAACCCGCGAGGGGGAGCCAAUCCCAGAAAGCCGUUCGUAGUCCGGAUCGCAGUCUGCAACUCGACUGCGUGAAGUCGG